GAUGAACGCUAGCGAUAGGCUUAACACAUGCAAGUCGAGCGGCAGCAUGGUCUUAGCUUGCUAAGACUGAUGGCGACCGGCGCACGGGUGCGUAACGCGUAUGCAACUUGCCUCACAGAGGUGGAUAACCCGUCGAAAGACGGACUAAUACCGCUUACACUUGGGAUAUGGCUUCCUGACCCAAGGAAAUGAAGUUCUCUGUGAGAUAGGCAUGCGUGCCAUUAUCUGUUUGGUGAGGUAUCGGCUCACCAAGGCGACGAUGGGUAUGGGAACUGAGAGGUGGACCCCCCACAAUGGUACUGAGACACGGACCAGACCGCUACGGGAGGCAGCAGUGAGGACCAUUGGUCAAUGGGCGCGAGCCUGAACAAGCCAAGUCGCGUGAAGGAUGACUGUCUUAUGGAUUGUAAACUUCUUGUAUACGGGAAAAACAAGAGUAACGUGUGGCUCCCUGAGGGUACCGUAUGAAUAAGCAUCGGCUAACUACGUG
This 490-nucleotide ribosomal RNA is filed under the name uncultured bacterium. RNAcentral describes it as "partial 16S ribosomal RNA". It matches the Rfam family "Bacterial small subunit ribosomal RNA", at positions 28 to 507 of the family's 1533-position model. The record is from RNAcentral.